RNAcentral lists this ribosomal RNA (433 nucleotides) under uncultured bacterium. Its description in RNAcentral is "partial 16S ribosomal RNA". It matches the Rfam family "Bacterial small subunit ribosomal RNA", at positions 29 to 507 of the family's 1533-position model. The record is from RNAcentral.
AACGAACGCUGGCGGCAUGCCUAACACAUGCAAGUCGAACGAGACCUUCGGGUCUAGUGGCGCACGGGUGCGUAACGCGUGGGAACCUGCCCUUAGGUUCGGGAUAACUCCCCGAAAGGGGUGCUAAUACCGGAUAAUGUCUUCGGACCAAAGAUUUAUCGCCUUUGGAUGGGCCCGCGUUGGAUUAGCUAGUUGGUAGGGUAAAAGCCUACCAAGGCGACGAUCCAUAGCUGGUCUGAGAGGAUGAUCAGCCACACUGGGACUGAGACACGGCCCAGACUCCUACGGGAGGCUGCAGUGGGGAAUAUUGGACAAUGGGCGAAAGCCUGAUCCAGCAAUGCCGCGUGAGUGAUGAAGGCCUUAGGGUUGUAAAGCUCUUUUACCCGGGAUGAUAAUGACAGUACCGGGAGAAUAAGCUCCGGCUAACUCCGUG